Molecule: ribosomal RNA, 506 nt
Filed under: uncultured bacterium
Lineage: Bacteria
Description: partial 16S ribosomal RNA
Rfam family: Bacterial small subunit ribosomal RNA
Source: RNAcentral
GAUGAACGCUAGCUACAGGCUUAACACAUGCAAGUCGAGGGGUAACGAGAGGAAAGCUUGCUUUCCUUGUCGACGACCGGCGCACGGGUGAGUAACGCGUAUCCAACCUGCCCCCAACUAGGGAAUAACCUUGCGAAAGUAAGACUAAUACCCUAUAAUUUCCUCAGAUGUCAUCUGACGAGGAAUAAAGAUUUAUCGGUUGUGGAUGGGGAUGCGUCUGAUUAGCUUGUUGGCGGGGUAAAGGCCCACCAAGGCAACGAUCAGUAGGGGCUCUGAGAGGAAGGUCCCCCACAUUGGAACUGAGACACGGUCCAAACUCCUACGGGAGGCAGCAGUGAGGAAUAUUGGUCAAUGGGCGGAAGCCUGAACCAGCCAAGUAGCGUGCAGGAUGACGGCCCUAUGGGUUGUAAACUGCUUUUAUACAGGAAUAAAGUUAGCCACGUGUGGUUAUUUGUAGGUACUGUAUGAAUAAGGACCGGCUAAUUCCGUGCCAGCAGCCGCGGUAA